This 226-nucleotide ribosomal RNA is filed under the name uncultured bacterium. Its description in RNAcentral is "partial 16S ribosomal RNA". It matches the Rfam family "Bacterial small subunit ribosomal RNA", at positions 109 to 334 of the family's 1533-position model. The record is from RNAcentral.
AGUAACGCGUGAGGAACCUGCCUCAAAGAGGGGGACAACAGUUGGAAACGACUGCUAAUACCGCAUAAGCCCACGGCUCGGCAUCGAGCAGGGGGAAAAGGAGCAAUCCGCUUUGAGAUGGCCUCGCGUCCGAUUAGCUAGUUGGUGAGGUAAUGGCCCACCAAGCAACGAUCGGUAGCCGGACUGAGAGGUUGAACGGCCACAUUGGGACUGAGACACGGCCCAG